AGCCCGGCAGGAUGACUGCUAUGCUUUGGACUUCCUCAGGAGGCUCCGGCCUAGGUGCACACAGGUAGGAGGAAAUUGUCAUAGGCAAUAGAAGCAUGGAAUGGAGAUUGGUUGAUGGCAGUGAGCUUUAAGGACUGCAUCAAUCUCUAUUGACUUCUGGAGAGACGUACUGAAAUUAAGGAGACUUGGCUUUCAUUUUAGCUGGCAGCACUUUUGGCUCUAUAUUCAGCUGUUUGAGGUUUUAAUUUGACUUCUAUGUUUUUAUAUCCAUCUACCUAUAUGUAUUUAAAUUUGACUUUUUUUGUGAAGAAAAUGUUGGAAGGGACCUUUAAUUUUUGUAGUGUUUUCUGAAUUUUUCACACCUGGUUUGUAAACAAAAAGAAAAGAAAGAGACAGAAAAAGUAGAAAGAGAAGGGAGAAAACAGCAUGGUUUUUAAUCUGUUUUGAGCACAUGUUAACUUAGAGAAUUAUUUUGAAGCAUUUGAAACAAUGAACUGUUUUUACCUGAUCAAGCCUUUAUAUUUGUAACUUAAAAAACAGUCUAAGAGACAAAUAGCAGAAAGCUCAGAUGUUCUCCACAGAUAUGAAACAAAUGAAUCCCUCUUCACAGAGUACCAACAACCACUGCUGGGAAUGUACUCUUUAACACCGGUCUUAAAACAAACUCUUUCAAAACCUCCUCUACCUCUGAAGAGCCUUGAAGUCAAUGUUUUCUAGAAUGCAUUAAAUCCACUCUACAGUCAAUUGAUGAGGAAACUCGAGAGUCAAGAACCCCCCCAACUUUACUUUUAAAGGAGUUGUGAGGUGGAAUUCUGAUGAUGACGACCUGAAGUGCUGUGCUGGGGAAAAAAAACAAAAACAAAAAAACAAACAAAAAAAACCUCUCAAAAUAUCUCGCUGAAAAGCCUUUAAAGCAAAUUGUCAUUGUUAGGACACCAGCCAGACCAUUCCUAAACCAUAACCUUAAAUGUUUUCCCCAAAACAACAAAGCACUGAAAUACAUUUUUCUUUUCUUCUUUUCUUUUCCGCUGCACAGCACUACAAUACAUUUACUGCGGUUACAAAGUCUUCCAGGAAGUAUCACACACUCACACAAUGUUUCUUCAAAGCUCAGCUUUAUAUUUUGUUUUCUGCGUUAGCCAAACAAUUCUAAAAUCUCAUCUGGCAGGAGAGCUCCGUAUUAGAGGAUUCUCAAGAAUAUAAAUUGUUUCAGUUAAGGUUAGUAGACCUGAAAUCAGUAGACGGUCUGUAUAUCUAUUUCAGCUGAUCUCAUUAGGAGAUUAUGAAGUUAUGCUCUGCUUUCCACAUCUGUUUCCCUCCUCUUUUGAUACUGGUAAUUUCAAUGUGAAUGAAUAUUUGAACAAGUGCUUUCUUCAUGAGUGCAGCUGAAGUAUUAAUAUUAUUACUGGAUAUUGAGUUGGAUACAUUGGAUAAUAAUUAAUACAUUUGGAAAACCAAUCCAGGCUUCAUUUGGACUACAUAGAAAAGUACCUAUAUACCUGUAUUAUUGUUGUUGACUGUGUUCCCAAAGGAAUCUCCACUUUUAGGAAGAAGUCUAAGAGUAGAAGAAAGAAGUUUUUCUUGUGUGUCAUUUUCUAAAACGUUUUUGGUAUGCCUUUUGGGACGCAUAGCAAAAGACACUUAUUUCUGCCUCAGAAUAAGUAGGAAAAAAAACAAGUUUAUACAUAUGAGUAUUAUUUAAGAGUAUUUAAAAAAAAAAAUCUAUCCUGGUAAAUAUUUGCAAGAUGAAAUCUAAAGAGUGUUCUGUGUCACACAGAGAAAGUAUGGAUGAUAGAAACCAAAGGGAGGACUGAAAUGUUUAAUUUGCAUUUCAUGUUUUUUCAUAUUUCUGCUAUAACGAAAGUGCUCUUUGCAUGGAGAAAACCAUGCAACUGUAAGCAUGCCUGGGCCAGCCAGCUAUGUCCAAGCAGUAUAGUUAGUUGUAAAUAAUCAGAGGCAAUGACAUGCAGACUUAUGGCAUGAACAGGCUGAGGAAUAGUUCUGAAAAGACUGUUUAAGAUGCAUUUUUGGAACUGGAAGACUUGUGCAUGUACUCUUGAUAAAGAAUGAGCUCUUGACAAAGUUGCCAUCAUUAACCAGAGCAAACAGUCGAGCAAGAAUAUCACAGUAGUGGCUAGUGAAGCAGGGAGGACUAAGAAAAUGGGAACUAGCAUGGAGUAACAUGAGAGCUCAUUCAAUGCACUCCCAGUAGGUCAUUAACAGCUUGGGUAAGGCUGAAGUCAACAAGAUAGGUGAAUUUCUUUUAUCACAAAAUCUGAGGAAAGUGUUCGUGUAGGAGGAGGGGAGCAGCCUGCUGCCUUUUCUCCUUUUCUCAUUUCUUAAUGAUACAACUGGUCUUUACAAUAGUUAGAGCUGCCAUUUGGAAAAAAAAUGUUUAAUUGUUCUACAUUACUGUUUAUCCUGCUAUCCUGUUUAUCCUAUUGCUGUUUUCUUUUCUUCCUCCAACCAAAUACUUCUUGGUAAGGCUUCUGAUUUUCAGCGAUGUGGGGAAUAUUAACUUAAUCAGUCCAGAAGGUUUAGUUUAAUUUGAUCAGCUUUUUAAAAUUUGAAGCUUUUGCUACCAAUCAAUGUUUGGUAAGAGGAGUCUGAGUGUUUUUGCUAAUUCUUUUUUUUUUUUUUCUUUCCUUUUUUGAGGAUGGGCAGAGUAUGAAUAACAAGCCUCUUUUUAUUAGCAAUAUAAAUUAUAUAAUUGGACACUAGUCAUUCAUUUUGACAUCUUUUCUUCCUUCAUCUCAUGGUAGAUUCUAGAAAAUAAGUAUUAUCAUUUUCUACUUUGUAUUCCAUUUUGCUUGGUUUGAUCUUGACUUUUUUUUUUCUAUUCCCACUAGAAAUAAAGAUAAAUAGCAUGAAGAAGA
Molecule: long non-coding RNA, 2876 nt
Organism: Dromaius novaehollandiae (emu)
Lineage: Eukaryota; Metazoa; Chordata; Aves; Casuariiformes; Dromaiidae
Exons: 3
Source: RefSeq, a predicted model, not a curated record